Molecule: long non-coding RNA, 1041 nt
Filed under: Solanum tuberosum (potato)
Lineage: Eukaryota; Viridiplantae; Streptophyta; Magnoliopsida; Solanales; Solanaceae
Description: long non-coding RNA (STUB_LNC009184)
Source: RNAcentral
GGCAAGGGGGUUCGCCCGAACCCCCUUCGUCGGAAAAUUACACCGUAUAUAUAAGGUCAAAUUCUGUUUUCAUGUGUAUAUAUAUUAAAAUGAACCCCCUUAAUAUAAGUAAAGAGGCUGGCUCAGUGGUUAAGGGGGUUCAAGAAUUUGCCUGGACGCCUUGGGUUCGAUUCCGCACGGCAACACUUCUUUUUCUUUUCUUCAUUUAGAAAAUCAAAUAGCUAGGCUGAGAUGGGCUCAAUAUUUUUGGGCUGGAGCUUUAUUAUUAUUUUUUGGGCUUAUUUUUUUCAAUGUUAUUUCUCCUUUUCAAUAUUCAUUUGUUUGAAUAUAGGGAAUUAGGCACAUUAUUUUCAUUUUUUGUAUUUUAUUCUUUUUAUCUCUAUUGCUCAUUUUAUUUUUACGUAACUCUUUUUUUAUAUAGUAAUUCAAAGGAACUUUUUAAAAAACUGUCAAUUAUUCUUAAACUUGAAUUUGAGAUAGAGAAAAAAUAUUUUAAAGAUAAGUUACACUAAAUUUAAUCGAACGAACAAAUUUGAAAGGCAUGAUUAUUCAUGAUAUUUUUUUCUCAUUUUUUCAUUUCUAUUCUAGAGAGAUGUAAACUACAUUUAUUUGAUUAUUCUUCUUUUAUUUUUCACCGAUUGAAAACCUUAUUAAUUGAAUAAAUGAACAAAAAAUUGGCGAUGCCAUUUAUUUAUCCUUUUAAUAUGCAUUAUAAUAUUAGUAACUCAAUCCCCACACGUUUGUAAAGAGUAUCAAACAAUUUUAAAGUAACAUAUGAUUGAAUGAACACGAAUUUAAUUUAUUUUAAAAAUUCAAAAUAAAGUAAAACAAUAAAAAAAUAAAAGAAAAAAAAUCACUUUUUUAAAAAAGAAAAUCAAUGAAGCAGGGUAAAAGUAGGAAACAAAGUUAAACGCGGCUUGACAAGGCAAAUUAAAUUUAACAGAUUAAGGAUAAUUUUUUUCUUCCCCGAUUCGUUUUGCUCCAUUUUUUUAUUUACUUCUUUAUAUGUUGAACCCCCUCCACGAAAAUCCUGGCUCCGCC